GGGGAAUAUUGCACAAUGGAGGAAACUCUGAUGCAGCGACGCCGCGUGAAGGAUGAAGUAUUUCGGUAUGUAAACUUCUAUCAGCAGGGAAGAAAAUGACGGUACCUGACUAAGAAGCCCCGGCUAACUACGUGCCAGCAGCCGCGGUAAAACGUAGGGUGCAAGCGUUGUCCGGAAUUACUGGGUGUAAAGGGAGCGCAGGCGGACCGGCAAGUUGGGAGUGAAAUCCAUGGGCUCAACCCGUGAAUUGCUUUCAAAACUGCUGGCCUUGAGUAGUGCAGAGGUAGGUGGAAUUCCCGGUGUAGCGGUGGAAUGCGUAGAUAUCGGGAGGAACACCAGUGGCGAAGGCGACCUACUGGGCACCAACUGACGCUGAGGCUCGAAAGCAUGGGUAGCAAACAGGAUUAGAUACCCUGGUAGUCCAUGCCGUAAACGAUGAUUACUAGGUGUUGGAGGAUUGACCCCUUCAGUGCCGCAGUUAACACAAUAAGUAAUCCACCUGGGGAGUACGACCGCAAGGUUGAAACUCAAAGGAAUUGACGGGGGCCCGCACAAGCAGUGGAGUAUGUGGUUUAAUUCGAAGCAACGCGAAGAACCUUACCAGGUCUUGACAUCCGAUGCAUAGUGCAGAGAUGCAUGAAGUCCUUCGGGACAUCGAGACAGGUGGUGCAUGGUUGUCGUCAGCUCGUGUCGUGAGAUGUUGGGUUAAGUCCCGCAACGAGCGCAACCCUUAUUGCCAGUUACUACGCAAGAGGACUCUGGCGAGACUGCCGUUGACAAAACGGAGGAAGGUGGGGAUGACGUCAAAUCAUCAUGCCCUUUAUGACCUGGGCUACACACGUACUACAAUGGCGUUUAACAAAGAGAAGCAAGACCGCGAGGUGGAGCAAAACUCAGAAACAACGUCUCAGUUCAGAUUGCAGGCUGCAACUCGCCUGCAUGAAGUCGGAAUUGCUAGUAAUCGCGGAUCAGCAUGCCGCGGUGAAUACGUUCCCG
This 996-nucleotide ribosomal RNA is filed under the name uncultured bacterium. RNAcentral describes it as "bacterial SSU rRNA". It matches the Rfam family "Bacterial small subunit ribosomal RNA", at positions 356 to 1376 of the family's 1533-position model. The record is from RNAcentral.